GAUGAACGCUGGCGGCGUGCCUAACACAUGCAAGUCGAACGGAACUUUUACGGAUUGAGACUUCGGUCGAUUGAAGUUUAAGUUUAGUGGCGGACGGGUGAGUAACGCGUGAGUAACCUGCCUUUCACAGGGGGAUAACGUUUGGAAACGAACGCUAAUACCGCAUAACAUAGCGAGACCGCAUGAUCUUGCUAUCAAAGAUUUUAUCGGUGAAAGAUGGACUCGCGUCCGAUUAGGUAGUUGGUGAGGUAACGGCCCACCAAGCCGACGAUCGGUAGCCGGACUGAGAGGUUGAACGGCCACAUUGGGACUGAGACACGGCCCAGACUCCUACGGGAGGCAGCAGUGGGGAAUAUUGCACAAUGGGCGCAAGCCUGAUGCAGCAACGCCGCGUGAGGGAAGACGGUUUUCGGAUUGUAAACCUCUGUCUUUGGUGACGAAGAAGUGACGGUAGCCAAGGAGGAAGCCACGGCUAACUACGUG
RNAcentral lists this ribosomal RNA (483 nucleotides) under uncultured bacterium. RNAcentral's name for it is "bacterial SSU rRNA". It matches the Rfam family "Bacterial small subunit ribosomal RNA", at positions 28 to 507 of the family's 1533-position model. The record is from RNAcentral.